RNAcentral lists this ribosomal RNA (501 nucleotides) under Valsa sp. Its description in RNAcentral is "eukaryotic LSU rRNA". The stretch from base 146 to 297 matches the Rfam family "5.8S ribosomal RNA". The record is from RNAcentral. Lineage: Eukaryota; Fungi; Ascomycota; Sordariomycetes; Diaporthales; Cytosporaceae.
GCCUCGGCGCUGGCUGCCCCUCCCCUCGGGGAGGGGGCCCCCUCCCGGUCGUAAAAAAGCCGGGGGAGGACAGCAGGCCCGCCGGCGGCCUACUUAACUCUUGUAUUUUUGAGUAAAAUCUGAGUAAAGCUUCUAAAUAAGUUAAAACUUUCAACAACGGAUCUCUUGGUUCUGGCAUCGAUAAAGAACGCAGCGAAAUGCGAUAAGUGAUGAGAAUUGCAGAACUGAGUGAAUCAUCGAAUCUUUGAACGCACAUUGCGCCCUCCGAAUUCCAGAGAAAUGCCUGUUCGAGCGUCAUUUCACCCCUCAAGCCUGGUUUGGUGUUGGGGAAUUACCUGACUGUCUUUACGGACAGGAGGGUAAGCCCUGAAAUUCAGUGGCGAGCUCGCCAGGAAUCCGAGCGCAGCAGUGUAAACCUCGCUUUGGAUUGUACUGGCGCGGCCCUGCCGGAAAACCCCCAACUUAUGAAAAUUUGACCUCGGAUCAGGGAGGAAUACCCGC